GCCUACGGGGCGCAGCAGUAGGGAAUCUUCCACAAUGGGCGCAAGCCUGAUGGAGCAACACCGCGUGAGUGAAGAAGGGUUUCGGCUCGUAAAGCUCUGUUGUUGGAGAAGAACGUGCGUGAGAGUAACUGUUCACGCAGUGACGGUAUCCGACCAGAAAGUCACGGCUAACUACGUGCCAGCAGCCGCGGUAAUACGUAGGUGGCAAGCGUUAUCCGGAUUUAUUGGGCGUAAAGCGAGUGCAGGCGGGUUCUU
This 255-nucleotide ribosomal RNA is filed under the name uncultured bacterium. RNAcentral describes it as "partial 16S ribosomal RNA". It matches the Rfam family "Bacterial small subunit ribosomal RNA", at positions 337 to 584 of the family's 1533-position model. The record is from RNAcentral.